RNAcentral lists this ribosomal RNA (346 nucleotides) under Tipula sp. MFW-1996. RNAcentral's name for it is "eukaryotic LSU rRNA". It matches the Rfam family "Eukaryotic large subunit ribosomal RNA", at positions 646 to 964 of the family's 3401-position model. Lineage: Eukaryota; Metazoa; Arthropoda; Insecta; Diptera; Tipulidae. The record is from RNAcentral.
GACCCGUCUUGAACCACGGAGUCUAGUAUAUGUGCGAGUCAUUGGGCUUUUAAGCCUAAAGGCAUAAUUAACGUAACUAAUAUAUGGGAUUACAUGUGAUUGUAUAUAAUUUUCAUCCAUGGGCGUUUUAAUCAACUCAUAUUGCUUAUGUUUUAUGAGUUAAAGUUAAAGCGUACUGUAAGCAUAUAUACUGUGACCCGAAAGAUGGUGAACUAUACCUGAUCAGGUCGAAGUCAGGGGAAACCCUGAUGGAGGAUCGUAGCAGUUCUGACGUGCAAAUCGAUUGUCAGAAUUGGGUAUAGGGGCGAAAGACCAAUCGAACCAUCUAGUAGCUGGUUCCUUCCGA